GUGCCAGCAGCCGCGGUGAUAUCGUAGGGUGCGAGCGUUAAUCGGAAUUACUGGGCGUAAAGCGUGCGCAGGCGGUUUUGUAAGACAGGCGUGAAAUCCCCGGGCUCAACCUGGGAACUGCGCUUGUGACUGCAAGGCUAGAGUACGGCAGAGGGGGGUGGAAUUCCACGUGUAGCAGUGAAAUGCGUAGAGAUGUGGAGGAACACCAAUGGCGAAGGCAGCCCCCUGGGUCGAUACUGACGCUCAUGCACGAAAGCGUGGGUAGCAAACAGGAUUAGAUACCCUGGUAGUCCACGCCCUAAACGAUGUCAACUAGGUGUUGGGUGGGUAAAACCAUUUAGUACCGUAGCUAACGCGUGAAGUUGACCGCCUGGGGAGUACGGCCGCAAGGUUAAAACUCAAAGGAAUUGACGGGGACCCGCACAAGCGGUGGAUGAUGUGGAUUAAUUCGAUGCAACGCGAAAAACCUUACCUACCCUUGACAUGUCCAGAAGCCCGAAGAGAUUUGGGUGUGCCCGAAAGGGAGCUGGAACACAGGUGCUGCAUGGCUGUCGUCAGCUCGUGUCGUGAGAUGUUGG
RNAcentral lists this ribosomal RNA (578 nucleotides) under uncultured bacterium. RNAcentral describes it as "bacterial SSU rRNA". It matches the Rfam family "Bacterial small subunit ribosomal RNA", at positions 505 to 1078 of the family's 1533-position model. The record is from RNAcentral.